GACGAACGCUGGCGGCGUGCCUAAUACAUGCAAGUCGAACGAGAGCGACCGGUGCUUGCACUGGUCAAUCUAGUGGCGAACGGGUGAGUAACACGUGGGUAACCUGCCCAUCAGAGGGGGAUAACAUCCGGAAACGGAUGCUAAAACCGCAUAGGUCUUCGAGCCGCAUGGCUUGAAGAGGAAAAGAGGCGCAAGCUUCUGCUGAUGGAUGGACCCGCGGUGCAUUAGCUAGUUGGUGAGGUAACGGCUCACCAAGGCCGUGAUGCAUAGCCGACCUGAGAGGGUGAUCGGCCACAUUGGGACUGAGACACGGCCCAAACUCCUACGGGAGGCAGCAGUAGGGAAUCUUCCGCAAUGGACGCAAGUCUGACGGAGCAACGCCGCGUGAGUGAAGAAGGUUUUUGGAUCGUAAAACUCUGUUGUUAGAGAAGAACAAGUGCUAGAGUAACUGUUAGCGCCUUGACGGUAUCUAACCAGAAAGCCACGGCUAACUACGUG
This 498-nucleotide ribosomal RNA is filed under the name uncultured bacterium. Its description in RNAcentral is "partial 16S ribosomal RNA". It matches the Rfam family "Bacterial small subunit ribosomal RNA", at positions 28 to 507 of the family's 1533-position model. The record is from RNAcentral.